Molecule: ribosomal RNA, 488 nt
Filed under: uncultured Lachnospiraceae bacterium
Lineage: Bacteria; Bacillati; Bacillota; Clostridia; Lachnospirales; Lachnospiraceae
Description: partial 16S ribosomal RNA
Source: RNAcentral
CACGUAGUUAGCCGGGGCUUCUUAGUCAGGUACCGUCAUUUUCUUCCCUGCUGAUAGAGCUUUACGUACCGAGAUACUUCUUCACUCACGCGGCGUCGCUGCAUCAGGGUUUCCCCCAUUGUGCAAUAUUCCCCACUGCUGCCUCCCGUAGGAGUUUGGGCCGUGUCUCAGUCCCAAUGUGGCCGUCCACCCUCUCAGGCCGGCUACUGAUCGCUGCCUUGGUGGGCCGUUACCCCGCCAACUAGCUAAUCAGACGCGGAUCCAUCGUAUACCACCGGAGUUUUUCACACUGCCCCAUGCGGAGCCGUGCGCUUAUGCGGUAUUAGCACCUAUUUCUAAGUGUUAUCCCCCGGUAUACGGCAGGUUAUCCACGCGUUACUCACCCGUCCGCCACUAACUCAUAAAUCACUAGGUUUCAAUAUGAGUCCGUUCGACUUGCAUGUGUUAAGCACGCCGCCAGCGUUCAUCCUGAGCCAGGAUCAAACUCU